RNAcentral lists this ribosomal RNA (925 nucleotides) under uncultured Bacteroidota bacterium. Its description in RNAcentral is "bacterial SSU rRNA". It matches the Rfam family "Bacterial small subunit ribosomal RNA", at positions 1 to 917 of the family's 1533-position model. The record is from RNAcentral. Lineage: Bacteria; Pseudomonadati; Bacteroidota.
UGGAUCCAGACUUUGAUCCUGGCUCAGGAUGAACGCUAGCUACAGGCUUAACACAUGCAAGUCGAGGGGCAGCAUUUCAGUUUGCUUGCAAACUGGAGAUGGCGACCGGCGCACGGGUGAGUAACACGUAUCCAACCUGCCGAUAACUCGGGGAUAGCCUUUCGAAAGAAAGAUUAAUACCCGAUAGUAUAAUGAAACCGCAUGGUCUUAUUAUUAAAGAAUUUCGGUUAUCGAUGGGGAUGCGUUCCAUUAGGCAGUUGGUGAGGUAACGGCUCACCAAACCUUCGAUGGAUAGGGGUUCUGAGAGGAAGGUCCCCCACAUUGGAACUGAGACACGGUCCAAACUCCUACGGGAGGCAGCAGUGAGGAAUAUUGGUCAAUGGGCGCAGGCCUGAACCAGCCAAGUAGCGUGAAGGAUGACUGCCCUAUGGGUUGUAAACUUCUUUUAUAUGGGAAUAAAGUUUUCCACGUGUGGAAUUUUGUAUGUACCAUAUGAAUAAGGAUCGGCUAACUCCGUGCCAGCAGCCGCGGUAAUACGGAGGAUCCGAGCGUUAUCCGGAUUUAUUGGGUUUAAAGGGAGCGUAGGUGGACAGUUAAGUCAGUUGUGAAAGUUUGCGGCUCAACCGUAAAAUUGCAGUUGAUACUGGCUGUCUUGAGUACAGUAGAGGUGGGCGGAAUUCGUGGUGUAGCGGUGAAAUGCUUAGAUAUCACGAAGAACUCCGAUUGCGAAGGCAGCUCACUGGACUGCAACUGACACUGAUGCUCGAAAGUGUGGGUAUCAAACAGGAUUAGAUACCCUGGUAGUCCACACAGUAAACGAUGAAUACUCGCUGUUUGCGAUAUACAGUAAGCGGCCAAGCGAAAGCAUUAAGUAUUCCACCUGGGGAGUACGCCGGCAACGGUGCAACUCAAAUGAAUUGACGGA